Loxodonta africana (African savanna elephant) is the source of this 5451-nucleotide long non-coding RNA. RefSeq lists it as uncharacterized. The record is from RefSeq and is a predicted model, not a curated record. The transcript is spliced from 2 exons. NCBI's taxonomy places the organism in Eukaryota, Metazoa, Chordata, Mammalia, Proboscidea, Elephantidae.
GCCCGGGGACGUGCGAGCAGCUCUCAGCCCUGGGCCGGGCCGUCCUGCACAGGCCCGACCCCGCCGGGAAAGCCCAGGCCCCGGAAGGCCCCCAGGCGCUUCAAUGGCCGCCGGGGCGGACGUGGCGCUGCAGGUCCCCGGGCCGGGGGAGCAGUCCGCGCUUCCCGCCUCGGCUCUCUUUCCGCGACAUCGCCGACCUGAUGCCCGGUUUUCCCGUCUGUCCAGGGAAGCCAGGAUCCAUCUGACAUCAGCAAUGAUAUCCCUGGUUCCACGUCCUCUUCUGAAACCAGCCUGAAUUUCUGGCAGUUCCCUGUCGAUAUACUGCUGCAGCUGUUUUUGAAUGAUCUUCAGCAGAAUUUUGCUUGCGUGUGAUAUUAAAUGAUAUUGUUUUAUAAUUUCCACAUUCGGUAGGAUCAGCUUUCUUGGGAAUAGGCAUAAAUAUGGAUCUUUUCCAGUCAGUUGGCCAGGAAACUGUCUUCCAUAUUUCUUGGCAUAGAUGAGUGAGCACCUCCAGCUCUGCAUCUGUUUGUUGAAAUAUCUGUUGAUAGUCCAUCAAUUCCUGGAGUCUUGUUUUUCGCCAGUGCCAUCAGAGUAGCUUGGACUUCUUCCUUCAGUACCAUCGGUUCCUGAUCAUAUGCCACCUCUUGAAAUGGUUGAACCUCGACUAAUUCUUAAAAAAAAGAACAUUUCAAGAUCUAUCCUGAAGUACAACGCUGUUAGUGAUAGGAUAAUACCCAUAUGCCUACAACGAAGACCAGUUAAUAUGACUAGUAUUCAAAUUUACACACCAACCACUAGGGCCAAAGAUGAAGAAAUAGAUUUUUAUCAGCUGCUGCGGCCUGAAAUUGAUCGAAUGCAAUCAAGAUGCAUUGACAAUUACUGGCGAUUGGAAUGAGAAAGUUGGAAACAAAGGAGGAGUAGUUGGAAAAUAUGGCCUUGGUGAUAGAAACAAUGCUGGAGAUUGAAUGAUAGAAUUUUACAAGACCAGCGACUUCUUCAUUGCAAAUACCUUCUUUCACCAACAUAAACGGCGACUAUACACACAAACCUCACUAGAUGGAACACACAAAAAUCAAAUUGACUACAUCUGUGGAAAGAGACGAUGGAAAAGCUCAAUAUCAUCAGUCAGAACAAGGCCAGGGGCCAACUGUGGAACAGACCAUCAACUGCUCAUGUGCCAGUUCAAGCUGAAACUGAAGAAAAUCAGAGCAAGUCCACCAGGGCCAAAAUAUGACUUUGAGUAUAUUCCACCUGAAUUUAGAGACCAUCUCAAGAAUAAAUUUGACGCAUUGAACACUAGUGACCGAAGACCAGAGGAGUUGUAGAAUGACAUCAAGGACAUCAUCCAUGAAGAAAGCAAGAGGUCACUGAAAAGGCAGGAAAGAAAGAAAAGACCAAGAUGGAUGUCAGAGGAGACUCUGAAACUUGCUCUUGAGCAUCGAGCAGCUAAAGCAAAAGGAAGAAUUGAUGAAGUAAGAGAACUAAACAGAAGAUUUCAAAGGCGGCUCGUGAAGGCAAAGUAAAGUAUUAUAAUGAUAUGUGCAAAGAGCUGGAGAUGGAAAACCAAAAGGGAAGAACAUGCUCAGCAUUUCUCAAGCUGAAAGAACUGAAGAAAAAAUUCAAGCCCCAAGUUUCUAUAGUGAAGGAUUCUAUGGGGAACAUAUUAAAUGACGCAGGAAGCAUCAAAAGAAGAUGGAAGGAAUACAUAUAUUUGUAAUUACACACAUGCAAACAUGAGGGUUUGAAUCCCAGCUUCAUCAAUUUACUAUCUUUGUAAUCUGGGCAAGUUAUUUAACCUCUCUGUGCCUCAGUUUGCUCAUUUGUAAAAUGGAAAUAAAGGUACUAUUCUGAGCCAUGGUCCCCUUCUGCCAGUGACCACCCCAGUCAUUGCCAUCCACAGCAUGACACAUAAGUAUAAAGUUGCAAACUCCCAUCCAACUUAGCACCCUGAGAUGGAGACUCGUCUAAAGUUCUGCUUUAAUAGAAUUUAAGGUGGUUGUAAAAAUGGCACGGAUGCAGUGUCUGACCUCUAACUUCACGAGAGGGAAAGAAUCAAAUAGCCCAAGGCUCUUUCCUUUGAGGUGGUGGUCAGACAAGCCUCCGUGCUCCAAACUUUUUACCAAUUCUGACACCAACCGUCCCCUCCCAUAGCACCCUCUACUUCUCUGCUGGGUUCAAUAAUUUGUUGCAAUGGCCACACAGAAGUCACAGACAAUAUUCACAUUAUGGGGUUUAUUAGAGAAGUAACAGGUUACAAUUCAGGUUCAGGAACACUCAGGAUGCAGUUCUUUGAUCAGGACACCCUCUUCUCAACCAUGCCUGCAGGCAGGCCUCUCUCUGGCCCCUCACCGUCUACACUCCUUUUUAGCUCUGCCAGUAAGUGCCAGGAGGCACCCCACUCCUUGUGUCCAAAGGCACUUGGCUCUCCCACUAUGGGUCAACACACCUACUGUAAUCACCUUGUUCUGUCGGCCAGGAAGCCCACCGUGCUGUCUCCUGCAGGUCUUCUGGUUUGGCUGCCUUUGCUGCUGCUGUUUCUUGCUGUCCCCAGGGUUACAGCUCUCUGUCUCCUGGGGAAGUUUCAGCGCAGAGAUCCAAGGUCCAAUGGAUACACUUCUAGCUCUUCUUUCUUGGUGGCAGUAGGUGCCCCCUUCCCGCCUCUGGGAAGGCUCAUUUUAGGCAUAGCAGGAUGGUAAAACUGACUGUCAUGGAUGGAUUGAAUAGUAUCCCUCAAAAAUAUGUGCCAAAUUGGCUAGGCCGUGACUCCCAGGAUUGUGUGGUUGUCCUCCAUUUUGUGAUCUGAUAAUCUUAUGUGUUGUAAAUCCUAACCUCUUUUUUUUUUGACGGCACUGGGUUACUGGUUAUGAUGUUAAUAAGGCAGGAUUAGAGGCAGUUAUGUUAAUGAGGCAGAACACAAUCUACAGGAUUAGGUUGUAUCUUGAGUCAAUCUCUUCUGAGAUAUAAAAGAGAGAAGCAAACAGAGAGGGACCUCAUACCACUAAGAAAGAAGCACUGGGAGUGGAGCACAUCCUUUGGACCUGGGGUCCCUGUGCUGAGAAGCUCCUAGAACCAAGGGAAGAUUGAUGACAAGGACCAUCUCCCAGAGCCAACAAAGAGAGAAAGCCUUUCCCUGGAGCUGGAACCCUGAAUUCGGACUUCUAGCCUCCAUGACUGUGAGCAAAUAAAUUUCUGUUUGUUAAAGCCAUCCACUUUUAUUUCUGUUAUGGCAGUACUAGAUAACUAAGACAUUGACCAGUCCCCUCAUUAGGGUUCUCUACACCAUAUUUGCACAGUCCCACCUCCUCAAGGGUGCCAUGUACCUUAUUUACACUAUUAGCAAGCUAUCCAAUCCCCCUGGUGGGCCACAAGUGCCUCCUUUGCAUAAUCCCACCCAGUCAUUUGGUAAGAGUUACAAAGACUAAAAAAACCCAGUGCCGUCGAUUCCAACUCAUAGCGACCCUAUAGGACAGAGUAGAACUGCCCCAUGGAGUUUCCAAGGAGCCAUAUUAAGUAAUUCACUGUACUGCAGUGCUUUAUGAAAUGAACAUUCAAUCAUUUUAUCUAAAUAAACACUGGAAACAGUAUAAAAUAAUUUAUCAUUAUGUAAUCAGCUAUCUUAUAUCUGAAUUUAAGGGAUCUUUUAAAAAUAGCUUUUCAAAAAGUUUGUAUAACCAAAGACACAAGGGAAAGAUCAGUCCAAAGGACGAAUAGGCCACAACUACCAUGACCUCCACCAGACUGAGCCCAGAACAACUAGACAGUGCCCAAUUACCACCACCACCUGCUCUGGCAGGGAUCACAAUAGAAGGUCCCACACACAGCAGGAGAAAAAUGUAGAACAAAAUUCAAAUUCAUACCCACAAAAAAAGACUAGGCUUGCUGGUUGUCUUAGUCAUCUAGUGCUGCUAUAACAGAAAUACAAGUGGAUGGCUUUAACGAAGAGAAAUUUAUUUCCUCACAGUAAAAUAGGCUAAAAGUCCAAAUUCAGGGUGUCAGCUCCAGGGGAAGACUGUCUCUGUCAGCCCUGGAGGAAGGUCCUUGUCCUAAAUCUUUCCCUGGUCAAGGAGCUUCUCAAGCACAGGAACCCCAGGUCCAAAGGAUGCACUCUGUUGCUGGCGCUGCUUUCUUGGUGGUAUGAGGUCCCCAACCCUCUGCUUGUUUCCCUUUUUCUCUCUUGAGAGAGAAAACGUGGUGCAGGCUACACCCCAGGGAAACUUUCUUUACAUUGGAUCAGGAAUGUGACCUGGGUAAGGGUGUUACAAUCCCACCCUAAUCCUCUUUAACAUAAAACUACAAUCACGAAAUAGAGGACAACCACACAAUACUGGAAAUCAUUGCCCAGCCAAACUGAUACACAUUUUUGGGGGGACAUAAUCCAAUCCAUGACAUUGGCCUGACAGAAACUGGAGAAAAAAGAGUAUGGCCCCUGGACACCUUUUUAACUCAGUACUGAAGUCACUCCUGAGGUUCACCCUUCAGCCAAAGGUUUAUAGGGCCAACAGGAAACCCUGGUGGUGUAGUGUUUGAAAGCUAUGUCUGCUAACCAAAAGUUUGGCAGUUUGAAACUACCAGGUGCUCCUUGGAAGCUAUGAGGCAGUUCUGCUCUGUCCUAUAGGGCCACUCUGAGUUGGAAUCGACUCCACGGCAACAGGGUUUUUUUUUUUUAAUAGGGCCAACAAUAACACAUGUGAGGGUUGUGUUUCACAGUUCAAUCAUGUAUAUGAGACUAAUGGGUACACCAGCCCAAAAGCAAAGAUGAGAAGGUAGGUAGGGACAGGAAAACUGGACGAAUGGAAACAGGGAAUCUAGGGUGGAGGAGGGGAAAGUAUCAAGGGGUUGGCAAACAAUAUCACAAAACAAUUUGUGUAUUAACUGUUUAAUGAGAAACUAAUUUGCUCUGUAAACUUUCACCUAAAUCACAGUUAAAAAAAUGCAAGAAAAUGCAAAAAAAAAGUUUGUAUAAAUUAUAUGGUGUCUCUUUACUCAAUGUGUCCUGAAGUAUCCUGGAAUCAACUUGUGUGCAAGGGCAGUGUAACUUCUUUUAGACAUAAAUAAAUCUAGCACAGUGUUAGGAACAUUUUAGGGCUCAAUAAAUGCAUGCCGAUUAGACAGCUAUGACUAAUAUUUACGUUAUGCUACAGAACUGAUAAACUUUAGCUGUGGUGAUAAAAUAUAUUUUCUCUUUGCAUCUGCCUUAUCCAGAAAUACUUCUUAAACCACUUCAAAUUCUUCCAGUGAAAUUAGAGACUACAGGCAUCAAGGUCUUUGAUUAUUUUAUUUUCCAUCAGUAAAGACAGCAAGUAGCAGUUGCUACUUGUGAGAGGUCACACUUGUCGGUUCUAGUUACUCUUCCCAUCACAACAUUUUCCUGCUUAGACUCUGGAAAAGAAAUUGCAAAAGAACAGAAAACCAACUUUCUUGGACAUACGGGGAAUCAAGAGUUUUCUAAAA